This 459-nucleotide ribosomal RNA is filed under the name uncultured bacterium. RNAcentral's name for it is "partial 16S ribosomal RNA". It matches the Rfam family "Bacterial small subunit ribosomal RNA", at positions 338 to 795 of the family's 1533-position model. The record is from RNAcentral.
CCUACGGGUGGCAGCAGGGAGGAAUAGUGGUAAAUGGCCGGAAGGCUGAACCAGCCAAGCCGCGGGAGGGAGGAAGGCGCAGAGCGUCGCAGACCUCUUUUGCCGGGGGACAAAAGGCCGGACUCGUCCGGUCCUGAGUGUACCCGGAGAAAAAGCAUCGGCUAACUCCGUGCCAGCAGCCGCGGUAAUACGGGGGAUGCGAGCGUUAUCCGGAUUUAUUGGGGUUAAAGGGGGCGCAGGCGGGCCUUUAAGCCGGCGGUGAAAUCCCGGGGCUCAACCCCGCCGUGCCGUCGAAACUGGGGGCCUUGAGUGCGGCAGAGGCAUGCGGAAUGCGCGGUGUAGCGGUGAAAUGCAUAGAUAUCGCGCAGAACCCCGAUUGCGAAGGCAGCGUGCCGUGCCGCCACUGACGCUGAGGCACGAAAGCGCGGGGAUCGAACAGGAUUAGAUACCCCAGUAGUC